Molecule: ribosomal RNA, 558 nt
Filed under: uncultured bacterium
Lineage: Bacteria
Description: partial 16S ribosomal RNA
Rfam family: Bacterial small subunit ribosomal RNA
Source: RNAcentral
UGGGGAAUUUUGGACAAUGGGCGCAAGCCUGAUCCAGCCAUGCCGCGUGCGGGAAGAAGGCCUUCGGGUUGUAAACCGCUUUUGUCAGGGAAGAAAUCUUCUGAGUUAAUACCUCGGGAGGAUGACGGUACCUGAAGAAUAAGCACCGGCUAACUACGUGCCAGCAGCCGCGGUAAUACGUAGGGUGCAAGCGUUAAUCGGAAUUACUGGGCGUAAAGCGUGCGCAGGCGGUUUUGUAAGACAGAGGUGAAAUCCCCGGGCUCAACCUGGGAACUGCCUUUGUGACUGCAAGGCUUGAGUGCGGCAGAGGGGGGAUGGAAUUCCGCGUGUAGCAGUGAAAUGCGUAGAUAUGCGGAGGAACACCGAUGGCGAAGGCAAUCCCCUGGGCCUGCACUGACGCUCAUGCACGAAAGCGUGGGGAGCAAACAGGAUUAGAUACCCUGGUAGUCCACGCCCUAAACGAUGUCAACUGGUUGUUGGGAAGGUUCCUUCUCAGUAACGUAGCUAACGCGUGAAGUUGACCGCCUGGGGAGUACGGCCGCAAGGUUGAAACUUAAA